RNAcentral lists this ribosomal RNA (270 nucleotides) under uncultured bacterium. RNAcentral describes it as "partial 16S ribosomal RNA". It matches the Rfam family "Bacterial small subunit ribosomal RNA", at positions 524 to 789 of the family's 1533-position model. The record is from RNAcentral.
UACGAAGGGGGCUAGCGUUGCUCGGAAUUACUGGGCGUAAAGCGCACGUAGGCGGCUUUCUAAGUCGGGGGGUGAAAUCCUGGAGCUCAACUCCAGAACUGCCUUCGAUACUGGAGCUUGAGUCCGGGAGAGGUGAGUGGAACUGCGAGUGUAGAGGUGAAAUUCGUAGAUAUUCGCAAGAACACCAGUGGCGAGGGGCGGCUCACUGGCCCCGGUACUGACGCUGAGGUGCGAAAAGCGUGGGGGAGCAAACAGGGAUUAGAAAACCCC